UGUCGGCAUUGGCCUGGGCGCGGGCGAAGCGGGCGCUGGCGUCGUCCGGGUUGUCGUUCCAGAUCGCAUGCCAGCGGCC
RNAcentral lists this transfer RNA (79 nucleotides) under Azotobacter vinelandii. RNAcentral describes it as "tRNA-Ala". Lineage: Bacteria; Pseudomonadati; Pseudomonadota; Gammaproteobacteria; Pseudomonadales; Pseudomonadaceae. The record is from RNAcentral.